GAGCCCGCACAAGCAGUGGAGUAUGUGGUUUAAUUCGACGCAACGCGAAGAACCUUACCGGAGCUUGACAUCCGCGGAAGGAGUCCGUAAUGGACUCCGUGCCCUUCGGGGAGCCGCGAGACAGGUGGUGCAUGGUUGUCGUCAGCUCGUGUCGUGAGAUGUUGGGUUAAGUCCCGCAACGAGCGCAACCCUUACGGUCAGUUACUACGAAAGAGGACUCUGGCCGGACUGCCGUUGACAAAACGGAGGAAGGUGGGGACGACGUCAAAUCAUCAUGCCCCUUACGCCCCGGGCGACACACGUACUACAAUGGCGCAAACAAAGGGAAGCCAAGCCGCGAGGCGGAGCAAACCCCAUAAAAGGCGUCCCAGUUCGGACUGCAGGCUGCAACCCGCCUGCACGAAGUUGGAAUUGCUAGUAAUCGCGGAUCAGCAUGCCGCGGUGAAUACGUUCCCGGGCUUU
This 462-nucleotide ribosomal RNA is filed under the name uncultured bacterium. Its description in RNAcentral is "bacterial SSU rRNA". It matches the Rfam family "Bacterial small subunit ribosomal RNA", at positions 917 to 1382 of the family's 1533-position model. The record is from RNAcentral.